UGCCCCGGACCGACUCAGGAGGACGGGCGUGUGCGCGACGGGAGUCGCGGCCCCAGAGGACGUGGGCGUGCGUGGUCCCUUCUGUUGCAGAGAGAGUGGCGCGCGGGAGUCCACAGCCGCGGAGGAGCGGAGCCCCGGGAGGGGGAGCUGCCGACAAUCCCUGUUGCAGGGCUUUCGGAAUGACGGGUAAGGGGCUACCAGCAAAACUUCAGCAAAUCCCUCGAAUGGCUCCCCGCUGCCUGUAAGGCACACCCAGCCCCUGUGGCAUGGAACCCGGAAGCAAGAGGGGUCCCGUUAAAACAUGCUGUUCGCUCUGCCUGUGGAGAUGAAAAUACACCUUUUCCUUCCCUGCUCUGUAAAUUCUUACCCCUAAGAAUUGUUGUUCCCCAUCUCUGGAAUAUUCUAGAAUAAGCCUCUUCACCCACAAAGUUAACUUCUUCCUUAGAGCCAUUCCACUGUCGCCAGUACUUGUUUCUGCACUCUCAUGGUUUCCUCCCCCUCCUCAAUGUGAGUCAGUAAAUCGCCUUCCUGGCUUACACCAA
Molecule: long non-coding RNA, 542 nt
Organism: Hyaena hyaena (striped hyena)
Lineage: Eukaryota; Metazoa; Chordata; Mammalia; Carnivora; Hyaenidae
Exons: 3
Source: RefSeq, a predicted model, not a curated record